AGAAGCUUAGGAUAAUUUAGACCAAGGGCCUUCAAAGCCCUAAGUGGAAGUUAGAAUCUUCCAGCUCCUG
Molecule: transfer RNA, 70 nt
Filed under: Favonigobius gymnauchen (sharp-nosed sand goby)
Lineage: Eukaryota; Metazoa; Chordata; Actinopteri; Gobiiformes; Gobiidae
Description: tRNA-Trp
Rfam family: tRNA
About the family: Transfer RNA (tRNA) molecules are approximately 80 nucleotides in length. Their secondary structure includes four short double-helical elements and three loops (D, anti-codon, and T loops). Further hydrogen bonds mediate the characteristic L-shaped molecular structure. tRNAs have two regions of fundamental functional importance: the anti-codon, which is responsible for specific mRNA codon recognition, and the 3' end, to which the tRNAs corresponding amino acid is attached (by aminoacyl-tRNA synthetases). tRNAs cope with the degeneracy of the genetic code in two manners: having more than one tRNA (with a specific anti-codon) for a particular amino acid; and 'wobble' base-pairing, i.e. permitting non-standard base-pairing at the 3rd anti-codon position.
Source: RNAcentral